UCAAUGUAAUGAGUAGCGAACGGGUGAGUAACCACGUGGGGAAUCUGCCUCUGAGCGGGGGACAACUACUUAGGAAACGAUAGCUAAUACCGCAUAACAGUUUUAAUCGCAUGAUUGGAACUUGAAAGGUGCAAUUGCACCACUCAGAGAUGAUCCCGCGUUGUAUUAGCUAGUUGGUGAGGUAAAGGCUCACCAAGGCAACAGAUACAUAGCCGACCUGAGAGGGUGAUCGGCCACACUGGGACUGAGACACGGCCCAGACUCCUACGGGAGGCAGCAGUGGGGAAUAUUGCACAAUGGGGGAAACCCUGAUGCAGCGACGCCGCGUGGAGGAUGACGGCCUUCGGGUUGUAAACUCCUUUCAGUAGGGAAGAAGCGAAAGUGACGGUACCUACAGAAGAAGCACCGGCUAACUACGAUGCCAGCAGCCGCGGUAAUAC
This 440-nucleotide ribosomal RNA is filed under the name uncultured bacterium. Its description in RNAcentral is "bacterial SSU rRNA". It matches the Rfam family "Bacterial small subunit ribosomal RNA", at positions 83 to 526 of the family's 1533-position model. The record is from RNAcentral.